Molecule: long non-coding RNA, 1793 nt
Organism: Mustela erminea (ermine)
Lineage: Eukaryota; Metazoa; Chordata; Mammalia; Carnivora; Mustelidae
Exons: 3
Source: RefSeq, a predicted model, not a curated record
GACCUGAGCCGAAGGCAGCGGCUUAACCCACUGAGCCACCCAGGCGUCCCUCAAAGGGAGUUUUUGAUUGAAGGCCAUGCGCAGGCCGAGGGAAUAAAUGCUGUGGCAGUUCAGACAUGUAGUGGACCGUUGUGGCCAGAAGUGGUCAGAGAUGGCUCUGAGGACAAGAAGGGAGGUUCAGGUUUAUCUCGCAUGAUGGGAGAGAUUUGGGUACCAGGAGAAAAAGGAGCUCAGGCAGGGAACAGAGUCUGAACAAAGCAAAGACGUAGGAGAGGACAGUGUGGGCUUUGGAAGAAAGGCGGGCCUGGCAAACUCAGGAAAAUAACUAAUCAGAGAAAGGGUGAGACGGGAAAGCUGGGACUAAGGCACGGAGAACUCUUAAUAUUAAGCUAAAUGAUCAUUUUGGAUCCAUAUUUAUGUCUUAUAAAUCCUAGCUACGAAUGAAUAAAUGUGAGGUGAACAGAACAUGAGCAGGAAGACAAGCGAAGGCUCUUCUGCUGCUCAGGUACUCACUGUCCAACCCAGGGGCAGCGAAAGUCUUUCCGCAGUGAGCCUCCCAGCGAGAAGCUGCGAUGGCUUCUGAAGCUGUUACCAGUCCAUCACACCUUCGUGUAAGUGAGGGAUCUAAAAUGUGGGUUUUGACACGGAGGCUGGAGAGAAAGGAAAAUGGGACCUGCGUGCUUGAUGUGGAAGAUCGUCAGAGACUCAGACAGAAAGUGCUGGAAAGAGAACGCAGAGGGGAGGAGCGGGCAUCCUGACAAACUUUGCCCCAGGGCAGUUUCGCUGAGUUCUAGCAAGGCAUCCUGACACCAGCCAGGCUGUCCAGUUCUGAACAAAAACGUUUCGUCUGCUCAGUGGGAUGACGGCAUCAGCCGGAUGAUUUAAAGGACGGCAGCAGGCAGCCGAGUGUGUAGUCGCUGGCGUCCCUAACACGUGGGGGAGCUUGGCUAAUCUUAACCUUAGCAGGUUUCAGAACCUCGCCAGCAGCUGCCUGCUACAGAGGAACUCUGCUCCAGCCACACCAUGUUCUUGCUGUUCUGGGAGAAGACCGCCAUGUGCCAGCCUCAAGGCUUCUCAUCAUUCUACUCUCCUGUUCCACUAAAUGAUAAGCUCUUACAGCAGCUUAAAUAAAAGAGCAAUGACUUUAUCAACCAAAGGAAGUCUGGAAGUAAGCAGACCUCCGACAUGGGGGUCAUCAAAGAUCCAGGCUGCUUUUUUCCUUUUCCUGCUCUGUCACCUUAGAGUGUCUUCCAUUUGAAUGGUUCAAGAUGGCGCUGGACCACUAAAAGUCUACCUGUGUUCCAGGCAGUAGGAAGGAGGAAGGCGAGGAGGACAAAAAUGGAAUACUUCCCAGCUGAGUCAAUUUCCUCCCAGCAGACUUCCCAGAGACCUGAUGAAAUGCCUACUUAGAUCUCACUUGGCCUCAGUUAAUGUCAAGAGAAGAUGGGAAAUGAAAUUUUUCUAGCUUAUCUUUUGUCACACCAAAUAAAUUGGGGUUCUAUCCUAAAGAAGGAAGGGAGUAUGGAUACUUGGAGACACCUAGAGUCUACCACAGAUAUUCACUGGAAGUACUUUUUAAUAGUAAAACUUUGGAAAUAAUAUAAAUCUGAAAACAUGAUUGACUCAGCAAAUUAACAGAUUCAUCAAUAUCAUGUGUGCUUAAAUAUUACAUUUUAGAAGAAUAUUUAAUGACAUGAUAAAAUGUUUAUGAUGCUGAGUAAAAAAGAGAUGACUGCUUUUCUAAGAAAACAAUUAAGAUAUUCUAUAAAAAUCAUAAAAGAGAGGGACAGCUG